This 714-nucleotide ribosomal RNA is filed under the name Bacillus subtilis. RNAcentral describes it as "bacterial SSU rRNA". It matches the Rfam family "Bacterial small subunit ribosomal RNA", at positions 107 to 799 of the family's 1533-position model. Lineage: Bacteria; Bacillati; Bacillota; Bacilli; Caryophanales; Bacillaceae. The record is from RNAcentral.
UGGAGUAACACGUGGGCUCAACCUGCCUGUAAGACUGGGAUAACUCCGGGAAACCGGGGCUAAUACCGGAUGCUUGUUUGAACCGCAUGGUUCAAACAUAAAAGGUGGCUUCGGCUACCACUUACAGAUGGACCCGCGGCGCAUUAGCUAGUUGGUGAGGUAAYGGCUCACCAAGGCAACGAUGCGUAGCCGACCUGAGAGGGUGAUCGGCCACACUGGGACUGAGACACGGCCCAGACUCCUACGGGAGGCAGCAGUAGGGAAUCUUCCGCAAUGGACGAAAGUCUGACGGAGCAACGCCGCGUGAGUGAUGAAGGUUUUCGGAUCGUAAAGCUCUGUUGUUAGGGAAGAACAAGUACCGUUCGAAUAGGGCGGYACCUUGACGGUACCUAACCAGAAAGCCACGGCUAACUACGUGCCAGCAGCCGCGGUAAUACGUAGGUGGCAAGCGUUGUCCGGAAUUAUUGGGCGUAAAGGGCUCGCAGGCGGUUCCUUAAGUCUGAUGUGAAAGCCCCCGGCUCAACCGGGGAGGGUCAUUGGAAACUGGGGAACUUGAGUGCAGAAGAGGAGAGUGGAAUUCCACGUGUAGCGGUGAAAUGCGUAGAGAUGUGGGAGGAACACCAGUGGCGAAGGCGACUCUCUGGUCCUGUAACUGACGCUGAGGAGCGAAAAGCGUGGGGAGCGAACAGGGAUUAGAUACCCUGGUAGUCCACG